AUGGCGACCGGCGCACGGGUGAGUAACGCGUAUCCAACCUGCCCUUUACUAUGGGACAGCCCGUCGAAAGGCGGAUUAAUACCGUAUGUCGUCAUGUUGAUGCAUAUUUUCAUGACCAAAGGCUUCGGCCGGUAAAGGAUGGGGAUGCGUCUGAUUAGCUUGCCGGCGGGGUAACGGCCCACCGGGGCGACGAUCAGUAGGGGUUCUGAGAGGAAGGUCCCCCACAUUGGAACUGAGACACGGUCCAAACUCCUACGGAAGGCAGCAG
RNAcentral lists this ribosomal RNA (268 nucleotides) under uncultured bacterium. Its description in RNAcentral is "partial 16S ribosomal RNA". It matches the Rfam family "Bacterial small subunit ribosomal RNA", at positions 88 to 354 of the family's 1533-position model. The record is from RNAcentral.